This 251-nucleotide ribosomal RNA is filed under the name uncultured Chroococcidiopsis sp. RNAcentral's name for it is "partial 16S ribosomal RNA". It matches the Rfam family "Bacterial small subunit ribosomal RNA", at positions 796 to 1044 of the family's 1533-position model. Lineage: Bacteria; Bacillati; Cyanobacteriota; Cyanophyceae; Chroococcidiopsidales; Chroococcidiopsidaceae. The record is from RNAcentral.
CUAGCUGUAAACGAUGGAUACUAGGCGUUGAGAGUAUCGACCCUCUCAGUGUCGUAGCUAACGCGUUAAGUAUCCCGCCUGGGGAGUACGCGCGCAAGCGUGAAACUCAAAGGAAUUGACGGGGGCCCGCACAAGCGGUGGAGUAUGUGGUUUAAUUCGAUGCAACGCGUAAGAACCUUACCAGGGCUUGACAUGUCCGGAACCCUGCCCAAAGGCGGGGGUGCCUACGGGAACCGGAACACAGGUGGUGC